Molecule: ribosomal RNA, 422 nt
Filed under: uncultured prokaryote
Description: bacterial SSU rRNA
Rfam family: Bacterial small subunit ribosomal RNA
Source: RNAcentral
UAAGGAAUAUUGGUCAAUGGGCGAGAGCCUGAACCAGCCAUGCCGCGUGAAGGAAGACGGCCUUAUGGGUUGUAAACUUCUUUUAAGAGGGAAAAAACUGGGCUACGUGUAGCUCAUUGCUUGUACCUUUUGAAUAAGCAUCGGCUAACUCCGUGCCAGCAGCCGCGGUAAUACGGAGGAUGCGAGCGUUAUCCGGAUUCAUUGGGUUUAAAGGGUGCGCAGGCGGAUCAAUAAGUCAGUGGUGAAAUCCCAUAGCUCAACUAUGGAACUGCCAUUGAUACUGUUGGACUAGAGUAUGGAUGACGUAGGCGGAAUGCGACAUGUAGCGGUGAAAUGCUUAGAUAUGUCGCAGAACACCGAUUGCGAAGGCAGCUUACGAAGCCAUAACUGACGCUCAUGCACGAAAGCGUGGGGAUCAAACA